AUUGAACGCUGGCGGCAGGCCUAACACAUGCAAGUCGAGCGGAUGAAGGGAGCUUGCUCCUGGAUUCAGCGGCGGACGGGUGAGUAAUGCCUAGGAAUCUGCCUGGUAGUGGGGGAUAACGUCCGGAAACGGGCGCUAAUACCGCAUACGUCCUGAGGGAGAAAGUGGGGGAUCUUCGGACCUCACGCUAUCAGAUGAGCCUAGGUCGGAUUAGCUAGUUGGUGGGGUAAAGGCCUACCAAGGCGACGAUCCGUAACUGGUCUGAGAGGAUGAUCAGUCACACUGGAACUGAGACGCGGUCCAGACUCCUACGGGAGGCAGCAGUGGGGAAUAUUGGACAAUGGGCGAAAGCCUGAUCCAGCCAUGCCGCGUGUGUGAAGAAGGUCUGCGGAUUGUAAAGCACUUUAAGUUGGGAGGAAGGGCAGUAAGUUAAUACCUUGCUGUUUGGACGUUACCAACAGAAUAAGCACCGGCUAACUUCGU
Molecule: ribosomal RNA, 483 nt
Filed under: uncultured bacterium
Lineage: Bacteria
Description: partial 16S ribosomal RNA
Rfam family: Bacterial small subunit ribosomal RNA
Source: RNAcentral